Long non-coding RNA from Daphnia pulicaria, 253 nucleotides. RefSeq lists it as uncharacterized. The record is from RefSeq and is a predicted model, not a curated record. Lineage: Eukaryota; Metazoa; Arthropoda; Branchiopoda; Diplostraca; Daphniidae. The transcript has 3 exons.
GGCGAUGUGUUUAGCGUUCGCAAAUCAAUCCGCAGCCUCCGCAUGGGAUUUCAUCGCUUUCUGGAUUUGAUAUUCGGUAUGCCAAGUUUGCAGCCACGAGACUUCGAAUCACGCCUGCACGAAGAGCGAAGCCGCUAUUUAGUGGCAGAAUUGUUAUGCGCGGUUGAAUGCCAGGAAGAAUAUAUUGCCUUGUGUCGUUUCAUUCGCCAUUACCUUGCCCACCAGCAAACGUCUAAAAAAUACAUCGGGUUUG